Molecule: non-coding RNA, 3992 nt
Organism: Peromyscus maniculatus bairdii (prairie deer mouse)
Lineage: Eukaryota; Metazoa; Chordata; Mammalia; Rodentia; Cricetidae
Source: RefSeq, a predicted model, not a curated record
GGAGCGACCACCUGAGACAACGUACGCUCACCCCUUGAAGGCGCACUUGUGGCUUGAUCCAGGGGUUGGAAAAGAGGUUGUUCACUGCCUUGGUCAAGAGGAGUUGGGUAGGAGGGCUCAUCUUCACGGCAGGGAGAAGCCACGACAGGAGCCAAGAAGAGACCUGAAGAAGGGGGAGGAGUGUGGAUAAUGACAAUAACCACAGAGCCUCAAGUCUGAACUACAAUCCUGGAGAGCAACUGUUAAAAGGAAGGGCCAGCGGAGACCACAAAGACCUUGGAAUAUGAUCAGGUGCGGGGGGAGGCAGUGAGGGGGUUCUCACUGAGUGGGAAGCACUAGCCUGCGAAGUGCUUAUAACAGCAGAUGAGAUCAAAGGAGGCCUAAGAUAGAUCCUAACAUGCCGGUGGGACUCUUUGGAUUCCUACCUUUCCAUUUCCAUCUUCAUACAGAAUGUCUUUUUGGGUUUUGUUUCAUAGCGUAGGGUAAGUUUACAAUGAAAGAUGACAUUUCUUAUCCUUCAUGGCAGGAGUAAAGAAAGGACUGAAUUCUGACUAGUUUAUAUAGACACAGAAGUAAUUGAGAGGAGUGGUUGGGAUGCUACUUAGGGGACCUGUCAGAUAUGCCCUGGUCUGUGUUCUUGCUGCGAAUGGAGAACUUCAGCUCUUCUGUGACCAGUGGUCUUGAGAAUGGAAAGAAAGGUAGAGCAAAGACCCCUAACACUAGCCCCCUCCCUGUGUUUCUGUUGCACCCAGCCAAACAACCCCUGACUAGUCUUGAACACUAACUAGGCUGUGGAGGAACUUAACCUGUUCUUAUCAAGACAGACAAAGGUAUUUUGUUUUGCUUUUUGGAAAUACAGUUGGAAGUCCUAUUAUUAACGUCUAGUACAAUAUCAAAUAUUCAUGCAGGUAUACAAAUAGCUUCAUUUAUACAUACAGGUAACCAGAAAGCACAUGGCUAUUAAAAAAAAAAAAAAAAAACUAUAUGGAAUUGAAUCCCCACUUUUGUGUGAACUGGCCUGACCAGUAAUAACUAACUCCACUGUAAUGUGGCUUUCAGGGGUCAGCAAAAAUCACAUGCAUAAUCCGAAUUAUUCUGUGAAUUGAGCCAUCCACCUGACUGAAAAAGAGAAAGGAUAGAUGAUCUGUUUUCAUUUAGUAUCAGUCUUCUAAACCACCCAAGGGAGAUCCUGGAAUUAACAUACUGUGCCUGUAGAUAUGACAGGUAAUCAGAGAGGGCAACAUGGCAUCUCUGAUCUCCAUGUGGACCAAGAACAAGAGAAAUGGACCAUACCUGAUGGUGCAAUGUCCCUCCACCCUUAUAGUUUAAGCUCAGCAAAGAAAAGUCACAUAGGAUCAGGGACCUGAGAGGUUUUCCCCCUCCAAAACCAGUUACAAGAAUGAAGUCCGGUAAAUCACACUCAAAACUAACUCCAACAUUCCGGUGCCCUGUCUAUGGACUUACAAUAACUGCUAAGUCACUGUUUCGACUAGAAAACGAACCAAGUCUCCACAGCCAAAGCAAACACAGCUCUUUGAGGACCCAGUCCAAUUGUCUGUUUAACUGCAAUUUUAAUCAGAAUCAUCCUAACUGUUGCAACAGGGGUUCUGAGAGCUCAACAGGGCUAUCUAAUUCUGACAAAAAAAAAAAAAAUACUAAGUUAUCCCAAGCUUGGGGACAAUGAAUCUCACACAUUAACUUUAUAAUAUUUCAUACGUAAGCGAAUCACACUGGAAGUUAAGGGCCCACGUCUGGAAACAAGGAAGUGGUGAGAUGCCACAGUGAGAACUGUUCUGGAGAGUGAUGAGGACAAAGCCCACCUAAGCUCUGUCCUUGACAAGGAGUUUCUCAUGUAAGAAGGCCUUGGAGUCUGGGGUGUCAUUUGCAACCUUUGCUAUCAUUUAGUGACUUCUCCUCCAGGUCACCUGAUGUAGGAACAAGGUGACAAAAGGCAUUCAGGAGCUGAGCAGAAGAAUGAACAGCUGGGAAACCAAGAGAUUUUUUCCAGAGCUUCCAUAACUCCCAGCCACUCCUCAGAGCCCAUCUGGAUAGAUUUUGGGGGAGGGGGAUGCAAAUAUGAAGAGAAUAUCCUUUUCAGAGCACAGUUGACCUUGGAAGAGAAAACGUUGCUAAAAGCAACAUGAAAUACCUCACUGCGUAUUAAUAGAACCUGGAAGCAACGGAGGCAGAGUUUAAGAAAGAACUAUUGGGAAGGGCCCUGAGCCAUCAACAGGCAGAACAAAACCCACCAUGCCAGAUCUCCAGAGAAAACAACUCUCAGCUUGCCACAAACACUGUACUGUAGUGUCAAUUAUUCAACAAAACCAAAACAUUCACACCCUGCUGUAAUUAAAAGCAGUGUAAAGUACCUCUGAUUCUCAUUGAAAAGGAUAUCUAGUAAAUGUUCUCUUGAACACUAAACUAAAAACACUAACCUACACUUCAUGUAGCUGAAUUUCUUGCUGUACUAUCCAUAUAAGGCAGGAAAGAAGUGGGCCUUGGCACAGGUUAAGUGAGUUGACCAACUUCAGUAAAAAUUUCCUAGUUGGGGUCAAUGUUCAGUCUACUCCUCUGGUGGAUUAAGAAAGAUGAGGAAGGCCAGCACUUGAGGUAAUUUGGAAAAGAGAGAAGAGAGGUUAUAAUAAAAUGCUAAGCAGAAAGGAAUGGCCGUAGAGAAUGGUGGUCAAGUGCAUAAUGGCAUUUAAGUGACAUUUCUAAAGAAAUGUUGCUUUGAAGAAAGUCUAUAACUUCCAAAGACUCUAGAGGAACCUGCUAGAAUACUUAAAAAUACAAUACUCUCUUUGUUAUAUUGCUUGUUGUGUUCAUAAACACUAGAUUCUAAAGCUGUAAUGAAAAUCAACAUUUUAACUAACAAUGAGCUAUUGUCAAAAAGUCAGGAUCAAUAGAUUGAUACCCAUUUGGAGCAUGAAGUUAAAUGAAUAACAAUGCCUUCCAAGAACUGUCUGGGAAGAACUUGCUUUAUUUUUGUCUCUGGAACAUUCAAUUCAGAUGAACUUCUCAAGUAACUAUUUCAUCUCUCACUAGUUGCCUUUAUUCCUAGGGUAGCCCAAAGGACUGUAAGUGGAUGCAUAGGCAUCUUUGCUUCUUGGCCCAGCCUUUGUCUAUCAUCAUCAAGCACGCUACCUCUGCACUUCAAACAUCUUCCCCUAAGCACCGCUGUCACUUUUCAGUUUACUUGAAAUUUUGCUCCUGUUUUCAUCAAGACAGAGUGGAAUUUAACAUAAAGUCAAAUUAGACUUUGCGAACAUAUGAGAAACUGUGACUCUUUAUCAGGAAAAGUAGAUAAAGUGUUUUGUUUCGUUUUUGUUAAGUUGGCAAUCUAUAGCAAAUGCACACUGCAGCUUGGGUUUUUAUUUCUAAACAUCUCUCUUCAAAGAGGAAAAACAUGGCCACAAAAGGAAAGCUGCAAUGUUUUCCAUGGCAAGAGGCAGAAAAGUACUUAGAGAAUGUUGGAGAUCUAUGCAAAGCACUUGGAUAGACUUGGUGAGAUCCCACUGGCCAGACUUGGGAUGAAUGCUGGAGAUCUAUGCAAAGCAUUGGAUUGGAUUGGUGAGUUCCCAUGGCCAGACUUGAGGUGGUGUGAAUAUUAAGAAGAGUAAUGAUGCCAAUGGAUAAUAACUGAACAACAAUAGAAUCCAUGGGUUUGAAGAGAGUCUAAAAACAGAAGAGGACUUAGAGUCUUUUUGUAGAGGAUGCCAGGUAGCAUGUAAGAUGUAUGAAAUAACUGGAAAAGCAUGAUAUUAUAAGCACCAUUGAAAUAAUGUGAGGACAGUAUCUACAAGAUACCAGGAUGUGCAGUCUCAACUUGCCAUACUCUGGAUCAUCUAAUUUGUAUAAAAUGUUAGUAAGAUAAGAAUUUGUAAAAAAUGUUAGUAAUAACAGAUGGAAUUUAUGGAUAUUCACUGGCCCCUUUCUUUCUUCCAUCGAUUAAACUUUAUCAAAUAAAAAAUAAAGAGAGAAAUGCUUAAUAA